CCUACGGGAGGCAGCAGUGAGGAAUAUUGGUCAAUGGCCGGAAGGCUGAACCAGCCAUGCCGCGUGAAGGUCAGUGCCCUUUGGGCGUUAAACUUCUUUUGUGCGGGAGCAAUCAUGGUCACGUGUGGCCAGACGAGAGUACCGUACGAAUAAGCAUCGGCUAACUCCGUGCCAGCAGCCGCGGUAAUACGGGGGUUGCAUGCGUUAUCCGGAUUUAUAGGGUUUAAAGGGUGCGUAAGCUGUGAGGUAAGUCAGCGGUGAAAUGCCCCCGCUCAACGGGGUGAAGUGCCAUUGAUACUGCCUGGCUGGAAUGCGGAUGCCGUGGGAGGAAUGUGGGGUGUAGCGGUGAAAUGCAUAGAUAUCACACAGAACACCGAUUGCGAAGGCAUCUCACGAAUCCGCGAUUGACGCUGAGGCACGAAAGCGUGGGUAUCAAACAGGAUUAGAUACCCUAGUAGUC
RNAcentral lists this ribosomal RNA (460 nucleotides) under uncultured bacterium. RNAcentral's name for it is "partial 16S ribosomal RNA". It matches the Rfam family "Bacterial small subunit ribosomal RNA", at positions 338 to 795 of the family's 1533-position model. The record is from RNAcentral.